Molecule: long non-coding RNA, 603 nt
Filed under: Pollicipes pollicipes
Lineage: Eukaryota; Metazoa; Arthropoda; Thecostraca; Pollicipedomorpha; Pollicipedidae
Description: uncharacterized LOC119112550
Source: RNAcentral
CCGGAGCCGGAGCCGGAGCCGGGGUACGCUCCGUCUGCGCCGACCCGGCUGACUCCAGCGGAACGAUCGGAGAGCGGCGGUUCUCAUCCGAGGACCGGGGUUCGGGUGCAGGCGCCGCCCGGUGGCAAGUCGUCUGCCCUCUGGUGACCGGUGCGCGUGCCCAAACACCCCCGCUGGCGGGCCGAGCCGACAGCGCCGGCCGAAGGCGCCCAUUCAGAGGUGUGGGUAGGUGUCGGGUGUCGCGUUAGGAUAUAACAUCUGUACUACAUCUUACUAACAUUAGCAUUUGGCGGAUGGUUCGCAUCAUGCAUUGUUGAACGCAAUGAACUGUAUUCGGGUGUAUACACGCAUUUGUUAACUGCUGCCACGCAUAUGCGUCUCUACAUUCCACACUGCCAACGGCUUGCCAGCAAUCGAGCUUUGGAUUAUGUUGUGAGCAAAUCUGUUUUAUAGUUACUAACACUUGAAUAAGGGAACGGCCGAAGGUGGCGAAUAACGCUCCAAAAGACGGGUGUUGUAGUUUUGGGAAUGCCAGCUGCUUUCUCGUGUUUUGGGCAUCAGUUUAAGCGUGCAAAAAUCGAAUAUAUCUUUUAACCCAAUGGA